RNAcentral lists this ribosomal RNA (101 nucleotides) under uncultured bacterium. RNAcentral's name for it is "partial 16S ribosomal RNA". The record is from RNAcentral.
CCUUCGGGUUGUAAAGCCCUUUAGGUAGGGAAGAAUGUUGCAGGGUGAAUACCCCUGUAAUUUGACGGUACCUACAGAAUUAGCACCGGCUAAUUCUGUGC